RNAcentral lists this ribosomal RNA (253 nucleotides) under uncultured bacterium. Its description in RNAcentral is "partial 16S ribosomal RNA". It matches the Rfam family "Bacterial small subunit ribosomal RNA", at positions 524 to 776 of the family's 1533-position model. The record is from RNAcentral.
UACGUAGGGUGCAAGCGUUAAUCGGAAUUACUGGGCGUAAAGCGUGCGCAGGCGGUUGUGUAAGUCAGAUGUGAAAUCCCCGGGCUUAACCUGGGAACUGCGUCUGAUACUGGGAGGCUUGAGUAUGGGAGAGGGAUGUAGAAUUCCAGGUGUAGCGGUGAAAUGCGUAGAUAUCUGGAGGAAUACCGGUGGCGAAGGCGGCAUCCUGGACCAUUACUGACGCUGAGGCGCGAAAGCUAGGGGAGCAAACGGG